This 429-nucleotide ribosomal RNA is filed under the name Gemmatimonadota bacterium. Its description in RNAcentral is "Gemmatimonadetes bacterium partial 16S ribosomal RNA". It matches the Rfam family "Bacterial small subunit ribosomal RNA", at positions 355 to 776 of the family's 1533-position model. The record is from RNAcentral. Lineage: Bacteria; Pseudomonadati; Gemmatimonadota.
UAGGGAAUCUUCGGCAAUGGACGAAAGUCUGACCGAGCAACGCCGCGUGAGUGAAGAAGGUUUUCGGAUCGUAAAACUCUGUUGUUAGAGAAGAACAAGGACGUUAGUAACUGAACGUCCCCUGACGGUAUCUAACCAGAAAGCCACGGCUAACUACGUGCCAGCAGCCGCGGUAAUACGUAGGUGGCAAGCGUUGUCCGGAUUUAUUGGGCGUAAAGCGAGCGCAGGCGGUUUCUUAAGUCUGAUGUGAAAGCCCCCGGCUCAACCGGGGAGGGUCAUUGGAAACAGGGAGACUUGAGUGCAGAAGAGGAGAGUGGAAUUCCAUGUGUAGCGGUGAAAUGCGUAGAUAUAUGGAGGAACACCAGUGGCGAAGGCGGCUCUCUGGUCAGUAACUGACGCUGAGGCGCGAAAGCGUGGGGAGCAAACAGG